UUGGAAGGGCCUUGGGCUGAUGCUCUAUUGUCAGUGUCUAACAUGGUCUGUUUGUUCCUUUGCCCCCUCAGGCCUCAACCAUGUUACGAGCAUCCUUGGCACCUGAGUAAGUAAUGGGUUUUUGGAGUUUUCAUUAAUUGUGUUCUAAAAUUGUAUUUACUUUUAUUUUAUGUGUAUGGGUGUUUUGCUUGUCUGUCUGUCUGUCUGUCUGUAUAUAACCUCCAUGCCUGGUGCCUGCAGAGGCCAAAAGAAGGUAUUGGAUCCCCUAGAACUGGUGUUACAGAUGGUUGUUAGACACCGUGUGGGGCUGGGAACCAAACCCAGGUUUUCUGGGAGAGUGAACAAUGGAGACAUCUCUCCAGCUCCCAGUUACAUCUGUAUGUAAAACUGGAACUCAGGAGAGCUUGCUAAAAUUCAGCUAUAUGCGGAUAUGAAAGCAAAUACCAGUGAUCAUAAAUUGUGCUGAACCAGAAUUAUCUUUUAAUAUGGAUUCUUGUAAUGUGGCAUGAAAGAGCAAAAAAACCCAAAAAACAAAAAAAACAAAAA
RNAcentral lists this long non-coding RNA (546 nucleotides) under Rattus norvegicus (Norway rat). Its description in RNAcentral is "long non-coding RNA NONRATT029609". Lineage: Eukaryota; Metazoa; Chordata; Mammalia; Rodentia; Muridae. The record is from RNAcentral.